This 345-nucleotide ribosomal RNA is filed under the name uncultured Butyrivibrio sp. Its description in RNAcentral is "partial 16S ribosomal RNA". Lineage: Bacteria; Bacillati; Bacillota; Clostridia; Lachnospirales; Lachnospiraceae. The record is from RNAcentral.
GGAGUCUGGGCCGUGUCUCAGUCCCAAUGUGGCCGUCCACCCUCUCAGGCCGGCUACCGAUCGUCGCCUUGGUGGGCCUCUAUCUCACCAACUAGCUAAUCAGACGCGGGUCCAUCUUACACCGAUAAAUCUUUUCACACUGUAUCAUGCGAUACCGUGCGCUUAUGCGGUAUUAGCAGUCGUUUCCAACUGUUGUCCCCCUGUGUAAGGCAGGUUACCCACGCGUUACUCACCCGUCCGCCACUAAGUCAUCCCAAUUGAUUCUGCUUUGUGCAAGCACUCCACUUCAUCGGGCGGGACGCUUCGUUCGACUUGCAUGUGUUAAGCACGCCGCCAGCGUUCAUC